GACGAACGCUGGCGGCGUGCCUAAUACAUGCAAGUAGGACGCAGUUGCGAACGGGUGAGUAACGCGUAGGUAACUGCCUAUUAGAGGGGGAUAACUAUUGGAAAUGAUAGCUAAUACAGCAUACUAGUAGAUGGACCUACGUUGUAUUUGCUAGUAGGUAGGGUAAUGGCCUUCCUAGGCGACGAUACAUAGCCGACCUGGGAAGGUGAGCGGCCCCGCCGGGACGGGGACACGGCCCAGACUCCUACGGGAGGCAGCAGUUGGGGAACUUCGUCAAUGGGGGGAACCCUGACCGAGCCACGCCGCCUGAGUGAAGAAGGUUUUCGGAGCUUAAAGGUUUUUUUUGUAGGGAGCGGUACUUACCCAGGAAGCGCCGGCUAACUACGUGCCAGCAGCCGCGGUAAUUC
Molecule: ribosomal RNA, 407 nt
Filed under: uncultured bacterium
Lineage: Bacteria
Description: partial 16S ribosomal RNA
Rfam family: Bacterial small subunit ribosomal RNA
Source: RNAcentral